RNAcentral lists this ribosomal RNA (253 nucleotides) under uncultured bacterium. RNAcentral's name for it is "partial 16S ribosomal RNA". It matches the Rfam family "Bacterial small subunit ribosomal RNA", at positions 524 to 776 of the family's 1533-position model. The record is from RNAcentral.
UACGGAGGUGGCAAGCGUUGCUCGGAAUCACUGGGCGUAAAGGGCGCGUAGGCGGGGAGGUAAGUCGGGGGUGAAAUCCCUCGGCCCAACCGAGGAACUGCGCCCGAGACUGCUUCUCUUGAGUCCCGGAGAGGAAGGUGGAAUUCCCGGUGUAGCGGUGAAAUGUGUAGAGAUCGGGAGGAACGCCGGUGGCGAAGGCGGCCUUCUGGACGGUGACUGACGCUGAGGCGCGAAAGCGUGGGGAGCAAACGGG